UGUCGCUAACGGGGUCCAUCUUUUCUUUGUCUGGCUUACGUACUGAUGCAAGCAUUUCUAUCGAGUUCGCAUUUUAACAUACGUUACGGCCUGGAUUUUCUUGAUAAAAUCUGUAAAAACAUAUAAGUUUGGGUGCAGCUGCUCAGAAAUGAGGUGGAUAGCGUUACAGUGUGCAUAUAUAUGUACUUAGUCUGUAGGCUAAGAAUGUAAGACAUUCGUCAUCAGAAGGAGCGUCAGACAUAUUGUCAAACGUGAAGCAGUCAUUGAUUUCAUUUGGGGGAAGGAAUGGUAACCCGAAAAAAUGGGGUAGCCAUUUACCAAUGAUGCUUAAUUUGUCUUUAUACUCUGUGCUCAGCCCAUGUAAAUGUAUUAACUUACCUGUAACUUACCUGUAAAUCCAAUUAGGAGAAAAAAUAAAAUCG
This 422-nucleotide long non-coding RNA is filed under the name Mytilus galloprovincialis (Mediterranean mussel). Lineage: Eukaryota; Metazoa; Mollusca; Bivalvia; Mytilida; Mytilidae. The record is from RNAcentral.